RNAcentral lists this small RNA (148 nucleotides) under Ureibacillus manganicus. RNAcentral's name for it is "Lysinibacillus manganicus c-di-AMP sequence". It matches the Rfam family "c-di-AMP riboswitch aptamer (ydaO/yuaA leader)". From Rfam's summary of the family: This family represents a conserved RNA structure found upstream of the ydaO and yuaA genes in Bacillus subtilis and related genes in other bacteria. The ydaO/yuaA element is thought to act as a genetic "off" switch for the ydaO and yuaA genes in its native state. Lineage: Bacteria; Bacillati; Bacillota; Bacilli; Caryophanales; Caryophanaceae. The record is from RNAcentral.
ACAUUUUUUUCGCUUAAUCUAUUUUUAGAACGGGGGACCCAAUUUUUUUACGGUAUUUUCCGUUAUAGGUGAGUUCUGAAAAGAAGGGGCUUUUCGUUUCCAAAGUCCUAACCUGAAAGCUAACCUCGUAAGCGUUUAGAGGAAACAG